UUCUAAAUGGCCGAGUCUUUAAUUUUAAAAGCCGUAAAAAUUAUCAACAGUCCGUUAUAACUUUUCUUGAGAUGUUUCUCACUUAGACCACAAACAGAGAGAGGUAUUUGUUAUUCACAUGAUUUUAUUUCCGGAAACAAUAUCACCAAUUUAUAGAUAGUACUUUACAAGCAAUAUUUAUACAUCUGAAAAAUGUCGCCGGUAAUUUGCAGAG
RNAcentral lists this long non-coding RNA (214 nucleotides) under Mytilus galloprovincialis (Mediterranean mussel). Lineage: Eukaryota; Metazoa; Mollusca; Bivalvia; Mytilida; Mytilidae. The record is from RNAcentral.